Long non-coding RNA from Astatotilapia calliptera (eastern happy), 661 nucleotides. NCBI's taxonomy places the organism in Eukaryota, Metazoa, Chordata, Actinopteri, Cichliformes, Cichlidae. The record is from Ensembl.
GUGAAUUUUGUGUAUCGUUGCACCCCUAAUAUAUAUGUAUAUUUCUGAAUUUGGCUGUUGUUACGUUUCGGUGUUGUCAGUGUUUUGUUUUUGCUUGGUCAUGUUCGCGAUCUCCCCCGCGUUGUAAAUAGUUUGACGUCUUGUUGUAAAUAAAUAGUUUGUUGUAAAUACUUUCGUUUCGGGAUUUUGGUGGAGAGCCUUAGUGGGGUUUUUUUUUGUGUGUUUUUUUUUCUUUAUUUUUACUUUUUUUCGUGUUGCACUCCGGUUGCCUAGGCCGGGGUGUAACAUAUGGGGGCUCGUCCAAUCGCUGGAGGGUCCGAGGGCCGCUUCGGCCUCCGUCUGUCUUCGCUGGAGGGCCCGGGGACCGCUUCAGCCGUCCGCCGUCGCUGGAGGGUCCGAGGGAGGGACCGCUUCAGCCGUCUGUCUUCGCUGGAGGGUCCGAGGGCCGGUCCAGCCUUCAUCCGCCUUCGCUGGAGGGUCCGAGGGACCGUCCCGGCCUUCGUCGUCUGCUGGAGGGUCCGAGGGACUGCUCCAGCCUUCAUCCGCCUUCGCUGGAGGGUCCGGGGAACCGCUCCAGCCUUCGUUUGUCUUUGCUGGAGGGUCCGAGGGACCGCUCCGGCCUUCGUCUGCUGGAGGGUCAGUGGGACCGCUCUAGCCUUCG